This 364-nucleotide ribosomal RNA is filed under the name uncultured bacterium. Its description in RNAcentral is "bacterial SSU rRNA". It matches the Rfam family "Bacterial small subunit ribosomal RNA", at positions 28 to 404 of the family's 1533-position model. The record is from RNAcentral.
GAUGAACGCUAGCGGCAGGCUUAAUACAUGCAAGUCAAGGGGGUAGCAAUACAACCGGCGCACGGGUGAGUAACGCGUACACAACAUACCAUAUACUGGAGUAUAGCUUUGGGAAACUGAAGGUAAUCCUCCAUAACAUUGCGAGAGGGCAUCUGAUUGCAAUUAAAGUUUCGGCGGUAUAUGAUUGGUGUGCGUUUGAUUAGCUAGUUGGUAGGGUAACGGCCUACCAAGGCGACGAUCAAUAGCUGGCGUGAGAGCGCGACCAGCCACACUGGAACUGAGGCACGGUCCAGACUCCUACGGGAGGCAGCAGUAGGAAUAUUGGACAAUGGAGGAAACUACUGAUCCACGCCAUGCCGCGUGA